UAGGGAAUCUUCCACAAUGGACGAAAGUCUGAUGGAGCGACGCCGCGUGAGUGAAGAAGGGUUUCGGCUCGUAAAACUCUGUUGUUAAAGAAGAACAUAUCUGAGAGUAACUGUUCAGGUAUUGACGGUAUUUAACCAGAAAGCCACGGCUAACUACGUGCCAC
This 164-nucleotide ribosomal RNA is filed under the name uncultured bacterium. RNAcentral's name for it is "partial 16S rRNA". It matches the Rfam family "Bacterial small subunit ribosomal RNA", at positions 355 to 511 of the family's 1533-position model. The record is from RNAcentral.